Unclassified non-coding RNA from Erinaceus europaeus (western European hedgehog), 307 nucleotides. Its record names the gene 7SK. It matches the Rfam family "7SK RNA". Rfam says of the family: 7SK was discovered as an abundant small nuclear RNA in the mid-70s but a possible function has only recently been suggested. Two independent studies have found that 7SK RNA binds the CDK9/cyclin T complex (known as elongation factor P-TEFb). Lineage: Eukaryota; Metazoa; Chordata; Mammalia; Eulipotyphla; Erinaceidae. The record is from Ensembl.
GAAUGUGAGGGUGAUCUGGCUGCAACAUCUGUCACUAUAUUGUUCACCAGGGUUGAUUCAGCUGAUCUGGCUGGAUGGAUGGAUGUCCUCUUCCUCCCUCAAGGCUCCAUGUGUUCCUCCCUAAGCUGUUGAAGAGGAAUGCCUUUCCCUAAUAGAGACAGACUGGUCUUUGGUCAGUCGAGGAUAUUCGAGUAGCUGCGCUCCCCUGCUAGAACCUCCAAACAAGCUCUCAAGGUCCAAAUAUAUCUGGUUUCAGAAUAAGUGCUAUACUACAUUUAAAGCUUAGUGAAGACUUUUUCACAUUCUA